RNAcentral lists this ribosomal RNA (545 nucleotides) under Aprionyx peterseni. RNAcentral's name for it is "eukaryotic LSU rRNA". The record is from RNAcentral. Lineage: Eukaryota; Metazoa; Arthropoda; Insecta; Ephemeroptera; Leptophlebiidae.
UAAAGGUCGAAAGGGGAGAUUCAGUAUCCAUUCCUCUGCGCCGCUCCCUGCCGUUGGGUAAAACCGGGGUGGUCCCUUCGGGGAUCGGCUCCGGGCCCGCGGCGGGGUCUCGCGCGCGCGAGGUGGAGCGCACUUCUCCCCGAGUAGGACGCCGCGACCCGCUGGGUGUCGGUCUGAGGCUCGGGUGCGAGUCCGUCUCGCGGUUCGCCGCGUGGCGGAGCCCCGGUGUCCCGACCGACCGCUCGGCGGUCGAACGUAAGGAAUUGGCCCGCGCUGCAUGGCGCGCCCGUGCCUCUUGCGAGCGUCCGGUCGAACUCGUCGCGCGGACUUGUCCGCCGCGGGCCGGCUGGCGCUGUCGGCUUGRGGACUUCUCGGRCAGMGGCCUCCUCCUGUUUGCGRCGCUCAAAACUGGGUGGCCCACCCGGCCCGUCUUGAAACACGGACCAAGGAGUCUAACAUGUGCGCGAGUCAUUGGGUCCCUMGAAACCCAAGGGCGUAUUGAACGAAAAGGCCGACCUUGCGUUGGACCAAGGGAGGAUGGGGCG